GGCUUGAGCUACAAAGCAAUCUGCAGAUAGCUGCUACCUGUGCUGGGCAUGGAGGUACCCAGGAGAGGCCACGCAGCUAAACAAAGCCAGCUGCCACUUAAUGCUGGGCCUGGGGCCAUUAGCCAGAGGUACGGAGUACUGGGGUACACAGAAGCCAGAUCUGCUUGUUUGAGGCAUUUUAGGAAAGUCCAAUGCCUGAGACCAGAUAGGCCAUAUGUAUAGAAAAGCCACUGGAAACAGCUUGGGUGGGCCCACAAGUUAGGUGAGGUGGAGUCUCAAGGAAUCACCAGGGUAGGGCUAAUAGUGAGGUUGAUAGAGUCUUGUAUUUGACACCCCCCUGCCAGUUCUAUGGGGAAUGGGCUCAGCAAAGGAACAAUAACCUCUGCCAGCACUCCUGUCUGGGGGAAAGCUGCCCCUCCAACCUUCACCCCAAAGCCAGACAAUUCAGUUCCUCCCCUUAUGUUCCUGGUGCCUUUCAAGCUGCUACCCCAGUGCUGGAGCUGACUAAGUCUGAGUAAGCUGGUGUGCAGUUCUUUUAAGAGGAAUGCCUGGAACUCCAGAAGCCCUCCAACUCACUCACCUCAAUUCCCACAGGUUUUCACAGUUAGAAGUUAUGGGGGCUUCUCAUCCCAGCACUGGAACCCUGGGCUGGGGCUUCUGAUGUGGGGCUGGGACUCCUACUUCCUUAAUGAGGUCCUCCACAGCUGAAAUAUUCCUCCCAAUUUUUAAUUGCCACAAAUGGGUAUGGGACCAGCCCAUUCCUUGUCUCUGGCACUCCUACCAGUCUCGAUGUGACUUCUUUAUAUCCUUAGUUUUAGGACUUCCAUUCAGCUAGAUUUCAGGCAGUUAUGAAAGAUGGUUGUUGUGUAACUUAGUUGUAAUUUUGAUGUGGUUGUGGGAGGUUCUGAGUACUGUGUUUACCUAUACUGCCAUCUUGACUGCAACCUCAAUGUAGACAAGCUUAAACCAACAUUUCUCCCUUAUCAAGGUAACAUUUCUCUACAGUUAAUGACUGGGGAUUUACAUAUUUGUUACAAAGUCAUUAUGUAAAAAAAAAUCUUCAGUUCUUUUGGGUUGGGGGUAUUGAGUUGACAGAGGCUUUCUUUGCAACCAAUUCACUUAUGUGUGGACUCUAAGACACAUGCUGGUGUUCAUUCAGAAUGCAAAGCAAGACAACAUGGAUGCCUACAAAGAUAGUCUUUAAAACUCUGCCUAUGUGUUGCCAGGCAUCUGUUUCUAGUUAAAGUGUUUCACUGUGAUGGCCGUUAAAUGAUCACAGUUCUACCCACUCAAACACACACUUUUUUUUAAAAUAAAUAAAAUUUGGGAUAUCUUUCAUUCUUUGCUUCCAACACUGUACACACAGCUGGUUCAAGGACUGGCAACAGCAUAUGUUCCUGAACAGUAAGUUUCAGGACCAGUCCAAGGUUACCCACAGACUUUGCUGACAGUGCCUGAAAAUUACAGUGUAUUCCAAGAACACAAGAAGAAUGAUCUUUGUUUUAGGAUGAACUCACAUCCCCUUGAAUGUCUGCUGUUGUUUAUUAAAUUGCAGAUAUUCAUUAACUUUCCCCUGAACCUGUCUUACCCAGAAAGCAUUAAGGCCUCAUAAUGAAAGUGGCUCUCAAGCUGCACUUCUGUUCUUGCCAGGACUCCACCCUGACCCACUUGGACUUGUAAUGCUAUCCUUUCUUUAGCACCAGGAGAGGACCCAGUUCUCCACUGCUCUCAUCCUGGGCAGAAACAGGUCUAAGGUUGGGAAGGGUGCCAAGAGGGAUCUUUUCACUGGUUUCUGUUCCCUGUCAUUUGUGGGGGAAAAAGAAACACCUAACAAUCACAAAGUGUUAGGCAGAUGUAAAAGAGAUCCAAUUAAUCAUAAAUACUAUUUUGAAGUUGUAUUUGCACAGUCAUUUUGAAAGUGGAUAACACUAAUAAUAUUUUUUUCUUUUAGGUUUUUUAAAGUAUGUUUUAU
This is a long non-coding RNA of Phyllostomus discolor (pale spear-nosed bat), 1972 nucleotides long. RefSeq lists it as uncharacterized. The record is from RefSeq and is a predicted model, not a curated record. NCBI's taxonomy places the organism in Eukaryota, Metazoa, Chordata, Mammalia, Chiroptera, Phyllostomidae. The transcript is spliced from 3 exons.